This 400-nucleotide ribosomal RNA is filed under the name uncultured bacterium. RNAcentral describes it as "bacterial SSU rRNA". It matches the Rfam family "Bacterial small subunit ribosomal RNA", at positions 358 to 772 of the family's 1533-position model. The record is from RNAcentral.
GGGAUAUUGCACAAUGGGGGAAACCCUGAUGCAGCGACGCCGCGUGAGUGAAGAAGUAUUUCGGUAUGUAAAGCUCUAUCGGCAGGGAAGAAAAAAAUGACAGUACCUGACUAAGAAGCCCCGGCUAACUACGUGCCAGCAGCCGCGGUAAUACGUAGGGGGCAAGCGUUAUCCGGAUUUACUGGGUGUAAAGGGAGCGUAGGCGGCCACGCAAGUCAGAAGUGAAAACCCGGGGCUCAACCCUGGGAGUGCUUUUGAAACUGUGCGGCUAGAGUGUCGGAGGGGUAAGUGGAAUUCCUAGUGUAGCGGUGAAAUGCGUAGAUAUUAGGAGGAACACCAGUGGCGAAGGCGGCUUACUGGACGAUGACUGACGCUGAGGCUCGAAAGCGUGGGGAGCAAA